RNAcentral lists this ribosomal RNA (752 nucleotides) under uncultured archaeon. RNAcentral describes it as "bacterial SSU rRNA". It matches the Rfam family "Archaeal small subunit ribosomal RNA", at positions 143 to 896 of the family's 1478-position model. The record is from RNAcentral.
AGAAUAAUGCCCGAUAGAACAUUAUACCUGGAACGGUUUAUGUUUCAAAUGAUUUGUCGCCGUAGGAUGGGACUGCGGCCUAUCAGUUUGUUGGUGAGGUAAUGGCCCACCAAGACUAUUACAGGUACGGGCUCUGAGAGGAGUAGCCCGGAGAUGGGUACUGAGACACGGACCCAGGCCCUAUGGGGCGCAGCAGGCGAGAAAACUUUGCAAUGUGCGAAAGCACGACAAGGUUAAUCCGAGUGGUUUCUGCUAAAGAAACCUUUUGCUAGUCCUAGAAACACUAGUGAAUAAGGGGUGGGCAAGUUCUGGUGUCAGCCGCCGCGGUAAAACCAGCACCUCAAGUGGUCAGGAUGAUUAUUGGGCCUAAAGCAUCCGUAGCCCGUUUUGUAAGUUUUCGGUUAAAUCCAUACGCUCAACGUAUGGGCUGCCGGGAAUACUGCAUAACUAGGAAGUGGGAGAGGUAGACGGUACUCGGGAGGAAGGGGUAAAAUCCUUUGAUCUCUUGAUGACCACCUGUGGCGAAGGCGGUCUACCAGAACACGUUCGACGGUGAGGGAUGAAAGCUGGGGGAGCAAACCGGAUUAGAUACCCGGGUAGUCCCAGCUGUAAACUAUGCAAACUCAGUGAUGCAUUGGCUUGUGGCCAAUGCAGUGCUGCAGGGAAGCCGUUAAGUUUGCCGCCUGGGAAGUACGUACGCAAGUAUGAAACUUAAAGGAAUUGGCGGGGGAGCACCACAAGGGGUGAAGCCU